UACGAAGGGGGCUAGCGUUGCUCGGAAUUACUGGGCGUAAAGGGAGCGUAGGCGGACAUUUAAGUCAGAGGUGAAAUCCCGGAGCUUAACUUCGGAACUGCCUUUGAUACUGGAUGUCUUGGGUGUGAGAGAGGUAUGUGGAACUCCGAGUGUAGAGGUGAAAUUCGUAGAUAUUCGGAAGAACACCAGUGGCGAAGGCGACAUACUGGCUCAUUACUGACGCUGAGGCUCGAAAGCGUGGGGAGCAAACAGG
RNAcentral lists this ribosomal RNA (253 nucleotides) under uncultured bacterium. Its description in RNAcentral is "partial 16S ribosomal RNA". It matches the Rfam family "Bacterial small subunit ribosomal RNA", at positions 524 to 776 of the family's 1533-position model. The record is from RNAcentral.